This 468-nucleotide ribosomal RNA is filed under the name uncultured bacterium. RNAcentral's name for it is "partial 16S ribosomal RNA". It matches the Rfam family "Bacterial small subunit ribosomal RNA", at positions 28 to 507 of the family's 1533-position model. The record is from RNAcentral.
GACGAACGCUGGCGGCGUGCUUAACACAUGCAAGUCGAACGGAAAGGCCCUGCUUUUGUGGGGUGCUCGAGUGGCGAACGGGUGAGUAACACGUGAGUAACCUGCCCUUGACUUUGGGAUAACUUCAGGAAACUGGGGCUAAUACCGGAUAGGAGCUCCUGCUGCAUGGUGGGGGUUGGAAAGUUUCGGCGGUUGGGGAUGGACUCGCGGCUUAUCAGCUUGUUGGUGGGGUAGUGGCUUACCAAGGCUUUGACGGGUAGCCGGCCUGAGAGGGUGACCGGCAACAUUGGGACUGAGAUAUGGCCCAGACUCCUACGGGAGGCAGCAGUGGGGAAUAUUGCACAAUGGGCGGAAGCCUGAUGCAGCAACGCCGCGUGCGGGAUGACGGCCUUCGGGUUGUAAACCGCUUUCGCCUGUGACGAAGCGUGAGUGACGGUAAUGGGUAAAGAAGCACCGGCUAACUACGUG